Long non-coding RNA from Mauremys mutica (yellowpond turtle), 672 nucleotides. RefSeq lists it as uncharacterized. The record is from RefSeq and is a predicted model, not a curated record. NCBI's taxonomy places the organism in Eukaryota, Metazoa, Chordata, Testudines, Geoemydidae. The transcript has 4 exons.
GUGACGUCAGAGAAGAAGGCGCAUCUCUUCAACAUCAUGGUUUAUCCACUAUAAUUCGUAUAGUCACCAGCCCCCCCACAGAGAAGCUACCUAAUGGCACACAGAUGGGUGCCAGCUUACCAGUGGUAACCUCGUGAUCUGCUGAUGUCAUCCUCACAAAGCAGCUACUUCUGAAGAGGUUUGGCUGAUUUUCUUUAUUCCAAACAAGAUGUUGGCCCCAUGCACAAUCAAUGACCAAAAGAGACCAAAGCAGAGUCUGCACGCUGACAGAUUUCUGACCAUCAAAUUCGAGUUUAGACCAAGUACACAGGGAAAAAGUUUGAAGUGUUGUAAUGCUGCCUACUGUGAUUUGUAUGAACAUUUGGGAUCCCCUGGAGAGGACUGUAAUCCAGGGUUCCUUUCUUGUACAAGAAAGUCUUGGAACAAUAUAAUAUUGAUAAAAAAAUCCUUAAUUAGAUUUGUAUUCACAAUUUGGAAAUGUGAAGAAAACACUACAGAUUUUGUUUGCACUCUCUGGGACUAUAUAUAUUUUGAAUUAUCUGCAGGAAGACUUCCCCCUACUGGGUUCCUUCAGCACAAAGAUAUAUUGACAACUAAAAGGAACAUUAAUAAUAAAAAUGGAUAUAAAAGGCUAUAAAAUUCAAGCCACAUGGUUUCCUUAGUUCCAUGCAA